UUGACCAUAAACUCCCAUAAGAGGUCUUGCACCCCUUUGUCGCAACCUAUUGGCCUCCUAGCACUUGACCAAAAGUGUUUUCAUCGCAUUAGGAUAUUUAUACAUGUUUAAUUAGUGUUAUAAUCACUAAUUUUUUAUAUACAUAUGUCUUCAUAUGUAAUUAGGACCAUUGUGUGUGUCUAAAGUCUUCACUUGACACCUAGCAGUCCUACCUCGUCAGUUCAUCCGUAACACCCACAACAGGUGAGUUCAUACCCCUUAAUCAAUGUUUUAAAUAUUUUAAAAUGUUUUAUGGGGGGGAUACAAGUAGAAUCAUGCUACUUAUUAUAUCAAUCACAUGUGAUUAGUAAGCAGCAUUUAAAUGAUUUACUACUCAUUAGCCGUUUUACCAAAUAGUUUCCUUCAAAUGAUUUUCAUAAACAUUUUACAUGUUUUAAAACUCCUUAUUACACUGUACAUUUUACUCUGUAUGGUUUAUUUCAAACUUACUUACAAUUGUGUUUCAAACAAAUGUUUCUUUAUAUUAAACCGUUUUAUCAAACCCAUGCCUUUAAAAACCUUUUAUAGAUCGACAUCAAGUCGAUCGUUUCUUAGAAAAUAUUUAUGUUCAAAGGUUUUUACAAAACUUAUUUUAUUAUUUUAUAUUAUAAAUUGCAUGCCUCUAUAUGUAUGGUUAUAUAAGUAAUGUUUAAAAGACUUAGGAAGGCUAUCCACCUUGUGUCCUUUUCUUCGAUUUGGAUGUGGGCUGAUAGAAUAUCGGGUACUCAUCCGAAGGUCGUCUAAAUAUUAGUUAUAUAUCAUGUGUACAUGUAUAGACUUAAAAGGUCUUUCCAGUUCAUCCAAUGCCCCUGGGUAGCAAGGGGAUACAUCCAUGUCCAUAAGUACCAGUUAGAUUACUAGUAAGCUACUGUAUGGGUAGUUUACGAAGAUACUAGAACUAUUACUAGAAUGCAAUAUCAUACAAUGAGUCAGUUCAUUCAUGAGUCUAUACUUGCUAGAUAGAGAGCACAUACAUUACAGCUAGAACAUUACAGUAUAUUACUAUAGUUGCUAGAUAGAGAGCAUGUACAUUACAACUAGAACAGUUCAGUACAUUACAUCAAGAUAAAUAUGUUGACAAAAUUGUGAUCCUGUAUCGGAGCAUGCCUUAAAUGUUCUGGCCCAAGUUGUAGCCAGAGUCUCUUGGAGGGAGAGCGUGAGUUUGCGUAUAGAUCAAUACUAGAUUGACAAUCCUACACCUUGCUGCUAGCUACAGCCGGACCUGCAGGUCUGCGGAUGCCAAACGUCAUUUCUUUUUACGACCAUACGUAUGUCGUUGUUACCAGUCAAUAGUAUGGUGCAAUUAAUCACAUGAAACCUUAAUAUAAUUCCGGCUUAAGGUAGUUAGUACAGCAGUAGUUCUUAUAGCGCUACAUUUUAGUACUACAUUAAUUUCCCCUUCACAUAUAUUUAGUGAUCUUUUCACUUAAACUUUAAAUGUAAAAACUAUAUUUUUUAAUGAUAGUUACACUUGGGAAAAUUACCCACUUUUACAAGAAAAGAACAUUUAGAACAGUUGAGUCUUGGUAGAAGACUACAUUGAGAACAGUUAUGUCUUGGUAGAAGACACCCUUUAUAUAAUAGUAGGAAUCAUAGGGAUUUCUAGGGUUUUUCAAACGUUUACAGUUGUUUUUCAAAUAUUUUUACACUUACCGUUCAUAUACAUUUUUAAUACUUACAAAUUCUUACAUACAAAUUAAGACACUAAAAUACUUAUGAUCUCACCAGCUUUAAAGCUGAUACUCGCUUUCAAAAUUACUUGUAUCCUCAGUUCAUCAUAGACAGGUACCGAUGCAAGGAUUAGGGAAGAUGGAGCUCGUUCAAGACUCAUCUUUCAUUUUUUAUUUAUGCUUUAGUGUUUAUCAAAAUUUAAUAGAACACACUUGUAUAAUAAUUAUAUUAUUAAUGCAAUGGAUGAUGUUGUUGCUUGUUUACUACUUUUCAUUGUUGUGAUACUGUACAUGACGUCCUCCGCCCCAGAACGUUUCCGCCGUUCUUGGUUUUGGGGUGUGACAGAUUGGUAUCAGAGCAUUGUUUAUAGUGAAUUAAGUAUAUCAACCCAUAAAAGAUAUACUAACUAUAAACCCAUUGGGAUUAAAAAUACUCUGACCAAGAGUUUAUACUUUAAAUAAUAAAAUAUUUAAUAAAGUAUAUGUGCUUGCAUUCAUACUAAAAUCAGUGUCACUAGGACAGUACAAGAGAAUUACGAUUGUUGGGCAACACAAGUGGGCUUAGAGACAUAUGGUCAAAACUGGGAAGAUAUAGCCUGAUCACCUAUAUUAUCCGAGGGUUGACUAGCAUGUGCCUAAGUGUAGUUGUGUGGUUGCAACAAGUCUAAAAUCUUACCAACCCUACCACAAUGAGAACAGUAGAACAUAACAUUAAACUUAAAAUACUAUAGGAGUAUUUGGUGUUACUAUAAGUACUUCAUACUUGAGAACUAAAGCGGGAUCUUCAUUACUAAGUUGAUAGUUGCUAAGUGGAUACAAUAAGGCUAUAUGUAAUUAGGAUGUUAUAGACUGAGAAUCUGUGCAAAUUUUACUUUAACCCUAUUCUGUGUGAAUUUGGAGUUAAGAUCACCUAUUCGAAGGCCUAUCCUAUUUCGAUUACAUAUAACUGGUAUGCACUUCACAAAUAGCAAUGUAAUUGAUGAAGAUUUUUUAAAUAAUUAUCUAGAUAGUUCGUCUAAUAAUUAUUUUCUUACCCCAAUUCUCGCAUAGAUAACAUGGCUGGACUCCAUCCCCACGGCAACCCAUACCUCCCGAAUGAGGUCAUUGCUGGUUGGUUUGGAGAAGAACCAAAGAAUGAUCAUCCUAUCCCUAUGAAUAAUCACCAUGAUGAAAACCUUUCGAACGAUGCUAACUCUGAACCCGAGAUUGAGAACCUACCACAGGUAGCUCCUGUUCCAAUUCCUAACCCUCGUCCAGCUUUUCAUGGCCCGACGCCUGAGUGGGUGGAAUGCUUGGAAACAUGGAUCCAAGGACAAGAUCAACCCAUGCCAUUUAAUAGUGACCUAAGCUUCUACGACUUGAGCAAUGGGGGCUUAGCAGACAGAGUCUUGCCAAUCUUGGUCUGCAGAGUGGCCCGAAAUGAGAUUCAAGGUAGGACAGCCCUACAUCAGAUUACCGAAGUUGUCGCCGAUGCGAGAAUGCAUACCCUCCGCACCAUUUGUCUAGAAGAUGCUCGCAGGAGAUCAGAGAGAAACCAUGAAACCCUACUUCAAGCAAUAGCUGAAUCACGAGCCGAAGUCAUAGGACUCCAACUACUCCAGAGAGUGUACGAAAGACACCUACUUGAUGUAGAACGUCAACUGGCUGAACUAAGAGUUCACCUGAGGGAUGACCGUCUCCAGUAGUAGAUUCUUUACCUUACGUUCCUUUUUAGAAAGUAAUCGUUUUUUGUCUUUGCCCGAUGUGGCAUUUUUUAUGAAAUUAUCUUGUACUGUAAGUACUUUAGGUUAGGUCCUUAUGCUGUCAAGAAUUAUGUUCUCUGGAUAUGAUGUAAGACCUUUACAAGGUCAUUUUCCUGAAUCUUUACGUCAUGAAUAUCAAAGAUAUUGACAGCCGGCUAACUUCUGUGUCAUUCUUCAUUCAAGUACUCUUAUCAUACUUAUAUUAGAGUAUAUCUGAAACAUGCUUUAGUCAAGUCAUUGGACUAUAGUAAUUUAGCUUCGGAGACAUUUCUAAGUCUCCUUUAGUGGUUGGAUCCUGUAAUUCACCAACCCACGAUACCUCGGCUUGAACGACAAACGUUUUGAGACCAUUCUACAAACUCACUUCCAUUCUGUACUAGGACUGCAUCAUAGGGAUAAUCAUGUCGUCAUCCGGAAACGAUCAGUCGAGCAACGAAACCCCUAUCCUCCAUAUCGACGCCGCUACAUUACAAGUUGCAGUAGCAGCUGCUGUGACAACUUUCCUUACACACAUCAACUCAGGCAACACAAACAAGACUGAAAAAGGAGUCGAGAGUUUCGAUGGUAGUACCAACCCAGGAAACCAACAAAUGGAAAUAGUCAUGGACUUGCAAAGCCUAAAGAUCGAAAGGAAGAGACGAUAUCAUAAAGCCCUAAAGGAGUGCAAGAGAGCCCAAAUACUUGCCAUGCCACAGCCACCAGUGGCAACUCCGGCAGAACGCUUUAGGAAGCGAUUUUCAAAGUGGAGUAAUGAGGAAGGCACUCGUGUCCACAUAACACUGGCUAAACACCGCAAUCCCGUCACCAAUGCAAGUACUAGCCAGUCAUGCCACCAAUGCGGUGAGAUAGGGCACUUCAAGAAGGAUUGCCCUAUAGCAAAGAACUCUGGCACAGAUGGGAGGAUUCUCAGGAUCACAGCUGCAGGAGAGCCUACUUCGGAACCCACGUUAAUGUAAUUUAGGCGUUUCGUUGUAUCAGACUUAUAAACUAUCCGAAACUAGUGCAACUAGAGUCUUACCUUUUGCGAUAUUCUGUCUGUAUAGGGAUUCUCAUGCUACGUAUACUUGUCUUUUGUAGUAUACCUUAUUCGUAGCAAUGGUCUUGUUGUAAGUGUAAAGUAUUGUAACUCUAUUGAUGGUUGCACGGUUGUGUUUUGUCUGUAAAACGUCUUAUGUUCAAAUCUAAUGUCUUUAAGUUUCAGUAUGAUUCCGACAUUAUCAUACGACUCGAUUCAAUUUGAUCCUCACGAAAAUAGCUUCAUGCGUACGUCUCAUUAUCGGUAAAUGGCUUUUUAGCGAAACCGUCAUUUCAAAACACCGAAGUACUCAUGCAUGGUGUACCUCAUAGUUCUUUUCUCUUCUGAAGAAACCCCUGAAGUACCACUUGUGCAGUACGUCAAUUUCAAUCCAAGGAUUUAUACGAUUGAUCUAUCACUGAGGAAUGUAUACAUAAGAGUGAUAUAUAAUCAAGGUUCUACAGGUUUAGAAUUGAUGAUUCCACUUUAACUUCUUUUCGCUCGAUGGGAUGUGAGCUUAAAGAAGAAUCAGUUAUUCGACUACCUUUUCAAUCUUAAUUAUAUAAGUCUCGUACACGAGACGGUGAUUGUGAAACCAUGUAUGAAUUCUAAUAUGAACUUCAGGAUGGAGAACUGCCUAAGUAUACGAGUAAUCGCAUCGUCAUGCGAACCAACUUCGAACCUAGUAUGACUCCCGUAAACGGAUCGCCCUACAGUCUAAACACUCCGGAGAUACAAGAACAGUACAGACAACUUAGCGAACUACACAUAAAUAGAAUUAGAAGACUAUGCUUCUCACCCUGGAAAACCCCGGUCUUGUUCUUCCAGAGAUCGACGAAUUGCAUCGUAUGUGCCUCGGAUAUCGAGGACUCCAUCAAGAUUUUCCAGUAGAAAUCGUUAUCUCUGCCUCACAUAGAUAAAUUGGUUGAGUAACCGCAAGGAAAGCGUUACUUUCAAAAAUGGAUAUGAGAUCCGAAUAUCACCAGUUCAAGUGUUAAGGAAGGAUGUCCGGAACACUAUCUUCCGAAUUCGGUGCGGACACUUCGAGUCCGUAGUGAUACCCUUUGGAUACGACUAAUACACCCAUAGCUUUCAUGAGCUAAAUGGGUAGAGUACGUCUUUCUUACUUGGAUCAGUUCGUCAUUUCUCCAUGUAAUGACUUACUUAUCUACCCUCGUAGUAAGAAGGAACCUCUGGAAACAUCACCCUCGGAGAUACUUUUCACAAUGUUCUCUAAACUCGAGUUUUGGAAUUGAAGAGUGAAAAUUUCCUAAGACACACUAUUAGUGAUGUGAGAAAUUUUGAGUACUCUUUCAAUUUGUCAAAACUGUUGAGAAUUUGUUGACACCAGAGACACCGACAAACCCAUUGUCAUAGCUCGUCCAUAACUCCUCGUAAAUUACAGAAACCGUACGACUUUAACCCAGCAAGGAGUGGCCCUUGACUGGGAAGUUUAGCAAGAGAAAGAAACUUUGGAAUUAUAAGUGAGAGACCAAAUUCUUUAGGAAGUCUCACUCUGGGAACGGCUUAAUACGCUUCGUAAAGCGUGGAAAGCUAAUUCCAAGAUAGAAGGACCUUCGAGAUUCUUACCAGAAUCGGUCCUAUACCUCGCACACACUAGACCUACUCCGCGAAAUCAAUAACGUGCAUUCUACUCUUCGCGUCUCGAUUGUGAAACCAUACCUUUCCGUUAGGACUCUUGUAAGUCCACUUGUCGAGAUCCUCGCAUUCGUAUUAGAACCGUAGUGACCCUCGACCGAGAGGUCAAGCGGACGAAGCAACGUCGUCGCCCUUUAGUGAAAGUUCAUUGGAAUACCAACCAAGGACCCGAUUUCACUUAGGAGCACGAGAACCAAUCGAUUAGGAAGUUUCCUCCUUACGACUCGAUCAUUCGUACCUACUUCCUUGCCUAAAUUCUAAUUUCGGGACGAAAUUCCCUUCAACAGGGGGAUGAUGUGACAACCCGAAAUUUCCAUUCUGAACAAACCAUAUCAAGCCAANAGAACAACUAUAGUGAAAUUCAAGACUUCGGGUAUAAGUUUGACAGUUUUUCAGGAUUUACACUUAAGGAGAUAUCAAAAGAGUGGAUGCACUAGGGUUUUGUGCAACACCGUUAUUCCAAUACUCUAGGAAAUUAGAGUUCAUUCCGGGAAUAAAAAUAUUUUCUGCCAAAAAUCCUAGGACUAUAUAUAGAAAUCUGAACCAAAAUAAUUCAUUAGUUACAUUUCCAAUUAGAGAGAAGCCAUAUUCUCUCUCACAGUUCUUCGGGUUUUUAACCCAAAUUUUGAGUACUUCGAUCUAGAUAUAUUAUAUAGCUUAGAUUGUGUUUAAUAACAUCAAAAUCCAAAACCCCAAGAUUUGGGAGUUUACCGCCGAAGAACACUUGGGGAGUAAACUCCAUUUUAAAGGCCAAAAGUGCCCAAUGUCCCUUAAAGCCCUGGAACUCAAAGAAGAAGCCUCCAUUACAUGUUUAGGACACCAAAAUCAAUUAGAAACAAGAAUGAAAGUGAGUUCACGGCCAAGGAGGUUCUUGGGCUGUGAACUCCAUGUUUAAGUGCCAAAAUGCCCUAAAUGCCUUCAUUUAGCCAAGAGACUAGCAUAACACAUUACCUUGUUGUGUCUAAGACCCAAAACAAUCAAAAUACCAACACCUAGGAGUGUUCACGGCCGCAAACACAUGACCAAAUGGUUCAUGGGCCGAAAACUCAAGAUUAUGGAUGUUUUGAUGCCACAAACACUUCCUAAGGCUUAGGCUUGAAUUUAGACAUGUACCCUAAUGAGUUUAGGACUAGCUAGCACACUUAGAACACCAAGAGUAAGGUGUUGACGGCACAAAAGGUUCUAGGGCUGUGAACUCCAUAAAAUGGUGCCAUAAACUCUUCUAAAGCCAAGNCCGUGAACUCCAUAAAAUGGUGCAAAAUGGUGCCAUAAACUCUUCUAAAGCCAAGUACAAAAGCCUAGUUUAGUUCCUAGUUAAUUUAGGGACUUGAAAACCUCAAAAACAUCAAAUGGUACUCCUUACCAUGAGUUAAUGACCGUAAACUCACAGUAGAGUGGUCCCAAGGCCGUGAACUCCUAAAUAGAGUUGAAAGGAAGCCCAAACACUUGUUUAAGACUAGAAGCUCUUCACCACUUAAGUUGUAUUAAUGAUAAGCUUCAUUUUGUGACCUAAGAGAGAUUUUACGGCCAAGAGUUUACUCCCUGGGCCGUAAACUCCAACACAUAUGGUCUCUUGACCAUAAACUCCCAUAAGAGGUCUUGCACCCCUUUGUUGCAACCCAUUGGCCUCCUAGCACUUGACCAAAAGUGUUUUCCUCGCAUUAGGAUAUUUAUACAUGUUUAAUUAGUGUUAUAAUCACUAAUUGUUUAUAUACAUAUGUCCUCAUAUGUAAUUAGGACCAUUGUGUGUCUCUAAAGUCUUCACUUGACACCUAGCAGUCCUACCUCGUCAGUUCAUCCGUAACACCCACAACAGGUGAGUUCAUACCCCUUAA
This 7960-nucleotide long non-coding RNA is filed under the name Lactuca sativa (garden lettuce). RNAcentral describes it as "long non-coding RNA (LSAT_LNC005438)". Lineage: Eukaryota; Viridiplantae; Streptophyta; Magnoliopsida; Asterales; Asteraceae. The record is from RNAcentral.